UUGCAGUCAGUUAAGUGGACAGGGUUCCCUUGCUGGUGGGUGCCCAGGGUGCAGUGGCUGCGGACAGCAGCCACCUCGGCAGUGUACACAGCCCGUGGCUUUCAUAGCCUUCCCUCAGGGACCUUGGAGACACUG
Molecule: small nucleolar RNA, 135 nt
Filed under: Chinchilla lanigera (long-tailed chinchilla)
Lineage: Eukaryota; Metazoa; Chordata; Mammalia; Rodentia; Chinchillidae
Description: Small nucleolar RNA SNORA70 (ENSCLAG00000019609.1)
Rfam family: Small nucleolar RNA SNORA70
About the family: snoRNA U70 seems to be exclusive to mammals and is a member of the H/ACA class of snoRNA which contain H (ANANNA) and ACA box motifs. H/ACA box snoRNAs are involved in the conversion of uridines to pseudouridines (5-ribosyluracil) a constituent of structural RNAs (transfer, ribosomal, small nuclear, and small nucleolar).
Source: Rfam by way of RNAcentral